AAAAGUUAAGAGCAUUCACUUAGGGUGAGUAAGAAAUUAGUUGGGGAGAACGAAAAUGAGAAUCGGUAAGUACCACAACUCUUGAAAAACCGAGCAAGCAUAAAAAAAAAAUAUAUAAAAAAUAUAGAAAAGAAACAUUUGUUUUGUAAAUAUGAUGUGAAAGAAAAGAACAAAAAUAGAAAGAAUGAAAAUGAAUGCUUGCUUGGAAGAAAAAUAGUGAAAAAUAAAAA
This 230-nucleotide long non-coding RNA is filed under the name Lathyrus oleraceus (garden pea). RNAcentral's name for it is "Pisum sativum (pea) long non-coding RNA (PSAT_LNC003840)". Lineage: Eukaryota; Viridiplantae; Streptophyta; Magnoliopsida; Fabales; Fabaceae. The record is from RNAcentral.